CAAGACUGAAAUUAAGGAAGCCUUCUUAGCGGUGUCCUUGGCUCUUGCUCUGAAUGGCGUCUGCACAAACACUAUUAAGUUAAUAGUGGGAAGAUGGAGUGAUGAACUCAGAAAUGCACUGCACGGGGGACCCCGAUCUGGUGUCCGAGGGCCGCAAAAGCUUCCCCAGCAUCCAUUCCUC
Leptonychotes weddellii (Weddell seal) is the source of this 181-nucleotide non-coding RNA. NCBI's taxonomy places the organism in Eukaryota, Metazoa, Chordata, Mammalia, Carnivora, Phocidae. The record is from RefSeq and is a predicted model, not a curated record.